Molecule: ribosomal RNA, 504 nt
Filed under: uncultured bacterium
Lineage: Bacteria
Description: partial 16S ribosomal RNA
Rfam family: Bacterial small subunit ribosomal RNA
Source: RNAcentral
GAUGAACGCUAGCGACAGGCCUAACACAUGCAAGUCGAGGGGCAGCACAUGAGUAGCAAUAUGAUGGUGGCGACCGGCGCACGGGUGAGUAUCGCGUAUGCAACCUACCUUCCACAGGGGGAUAGCCUUCCGAAAGGGAGAUUAAUACCGCAUAAAACAGGGGCCCCGCAUGGGGAUAUUUGUUAAAGAUUUAUCGGUGGGAGAUGGGCAUGCGUUCCAUUAGCUAGUUGGCGGGGUAAUGGCCCACCAAGGCAUCGAUGGAUAGGGGAACUGAGAGGUUUAUCCCCCACACUGGAACUGAGACACGGUCCAGACUCCUACGGGAGGCAGCAGUGAGGAAUAUUGGUCAAUGGGCGGGAGCCUGAACCAGCCAAGUCGCGUGAAGGAAGACGGUUCUAUGGAUUGUAAACUUCUUUUGCACUGGGGUAAAACGGGGGACGUGUCCCCCCUUGCAAGUACAGUGCGAAUAAGCAUCGGCUAACUCCGUGCCAGCAGCCGCAGUAA